RNAcentral lists this ribosomal RNA (429 nucleotides) under bacterium. Its description in RNAcentral is "partial 16S ribosomal RNA". It matches the Rfam family "Bacterial small subunit ribosomal RNA", at positions 355 to 776 of the family's 1533-position model. The record is from RNAcentral.
UAGGGAAUCUUCGGCAAUGGGGGCAACCCUGACCGAGCAACGCCGCGUGAGUGAAGAAGGUUUUCGGAUCGUAAAGCUCUGUUGUAAGAGAAGAACGUGUGUGAGAGUGGAAAGUUCACACAGUGACGGUAACUUACCAGAAAGGGACGGCUAACUACGUGCCAGCAGCCGCGGUAAUACGUAGGUCCCGAGCGUUGUCCGGAUUUAUUGGGCGUAAAGCGAGCGCAGGCGGUUUAAUAAGUCUGAAGUUAAAGGCAGUGGCUUAACCAUUGUUCGCUUUGGAAACUGUUAAACGUGAGUGCAGAAGGGGAGAGUGGAAUUCCAGGUGUAGCGGUGAAAUGCGUAGAUAUAUGGAGGAACACCGGUGGCGAAAGCGGCUCUCUGGUCUGUAACUGACGCUGAGGCUCGAAAGCGUGGGGAGCAAACAGG